RNAcentral lists this long non-coding RNA (743 nucleotides) under Hordeum vulgare. RNAcentral describes it as "long non-coding RNA (HVUL_LNC015914)". The record is from RNAcentral. Lineage: Eukaryota; Viridiplantae; Streptophyta; Magnoliopsida; Poales; Poaceae.
UCCGCUUUUGGUUCGAGCUUAUCACGCUGAAACUCUUUCACAUAAGUAUCGCUACCCCCAAACUUUUAUGAAACGAUAGCUUAGGUUUCUCUAAACCAUAGUUCAUACGGUGUCAUCUCAACGGAAUUACGUGGUGCCCUAUUUAAAGUGGAUGUGGUUGUCUCUAGUUCCUAACUCAUAAACGAUAGUGUUAAUUUGAUAAGAUACGUCAUAUUAUGCACCAUACCUAAUAGGGCACGACUAUGACAUACGAACACACCAUCAGACUAUGGUGUUCCAGGUGGCAUGAGUUGUGAAACAAUUUUCAUGUGAACCAAUUUUCACAUUGUCUUAAAUGUUUACCAAACUCGCAACUCAGAUAUAUAUGUUUACCUCCACGAUCAUAUCAUGGACACAUUAUCGUCUUGUCACAAUGAUCUUUAACUUCACUCUGAAAUUACUUGAACCUUUCAAUAAUUCAGACUUGUGUUUCAUCGAGUAAAUAUACUAGUAUCUACUCAAAUCAUAUGUGAAGUAAGAACAUAAUGAUAUCCACUGCGUGAUUCAGUACUCAUUGGACCACACACAUCAAAAUGUUUUACUUCCAACAAGUUACCUUCUUGUUCCAUCUCACUGGAAAACGAGGUAUUCAGUCAUCCUUCCCAUGUGGUAUGAUUUGCAUGUCUCAAGUGAUUCAAAAUCAAGUGAGUCCAAAGAUCCAUCCGUAUGGAGCUUCUUCAUGCGUUUUUGCACCAAUAUGACUC